GGUGGAUGUAGCUAAGUGGUAAGGCAGAGGACUGUGACUCCUUUAUACGCGGGUUCGAUCCCCGUCGUUCACCU
Molecule: transfer RNA, 74 nt
Filed under: Trachelomonas grandis
Lineage: Eukaryota; Euglenozoa; Euglenophyceae; Euglenales; Euglenaceae
Description: tRNA-His
Rfam family: tRNA
About the family: Transfer RNA (tRNA) molecules are approximately 80 nucleotides in length.
Source: RNAcentral